GAUGAACGCUGGCGGCGUGCCUAACACAUGCAAGUCGAGCGAAGCACUUUGCUUAGAUUCUUCGGAUGAAGAGGAUUGUGACUGAGCGGCGGACGGGUGAGUAACGCGUGGGUAACCUGCCUCAUACAGGGGGAUAACAGUUAGAAAUGACUGCUAAUACCGCAUAAGACCACAGCACCGCAUGGUGCGGGGGUAAAAACUCCGGUGGUAUGAGAUGGACCCGCGUCUGAUUAGCUAGUUGGUAAGGUAACGGCUUACCAAGGCGACGAUCAGUAGCCGACCUGAGAGGGUGACCGGCCACAUUGGGACUGAGACACGGCCCAAACUCCUACGGGAGGCAGCAGUGGGGAAUAUUGCACAAUGGGGGAAACCCUGAUGCAGCGACGCCGCGUGAGCGAAGAAGUAUUUCGGUAUGUAAAGCUCUAUCAGCAGGGAAGAAAAUGACGGUACCUGACUAAGAAGCACCGGCUAAAUACGUGCCAGCAGCCGCGGUAAUACGUAUGGUGCAAGCGUUAUCCGGAUUUACUGGGUGUAAAGGGAGCGUAGACGGAUGGGCAAGUCUGAUGUGAAAACCCGGGGCUCAACCCCGGGACUGCAUUGGAAACUGUUCAUCUAGAGUGCCGGAGAGGUAAGUGGAAUUCCUAGUGUAGCGGUGAAAUGCGUAGAUAUUAGGAGGAACACCAGUGGCGAAGGCGGCUUACUGGACAGUAACUGACGUUGAGGCUCGAAAGCGUGGGGAGCAAACAGGAUUAGAUACCCUGGUAGUCCACGCCGUAAACGAUGACUACUAGGUGUCGGGUGGCAAAGCCAUUCGGUGCCGCAGCAAACGCAAUAAGUAGUCCACCUGGGGAGUACGUUCGCAAGAAUGAAAUACAAAGGAAAAGACGGGGACCCGCCCCAGCGGUGGAGCAUGUGGUUUAAUUCGAAGCAACGCGAAGAACCUUACCUGCUCUUGACAUCCCGCUGACCGGACGAUAAUGCGUCCUUCCCUUCGGGGCAGCGGAGACAGGUGGUGCAUGGUUGUCGUCAGCUCGUGUCGUGAGAUGUUGGGUUAAGUCCCGCAACGAGCGCAACCCCUAUCUUUAGUAGCCAGCGGCCAGGCCGGGCACUCUAGAGAGACUGCCGGGGAUAACCCGGAGGAAGGUGGGGAUGACGUCAAAUCAUCAUGCCCCUUAUGAGCAGGGCUACACACGUGCUACAAUGGCGUAAACAAAGGGAAGCGAGACCGCGAGGUGGAGCAAAUCCCAAAAAUAACGUCUCAGUUCGGAUUGUAGUCUGCAACUCGACUACAUGAAGCUGGAAUCGCUAGUAAUCGCGAAUCAGAAUGUCGC
RNAcentral lists this ribosomal RNA (1331 nucleotides) under uncultured bacterium. RNAcentral's name for it is "bacterial SSU rRNA". It matches the Rfam family "Bacterial small subunit ribosomal RNA", at positions 28 to 1360 of the family's 1533-position model. The record is from RNAcentral.